CCAAUAGCGUAUAUUAAAGUUGUUGCAGUUAAAAAGCUCGUAGUUGAAUUUCGGGAUUGGCGCAUCGGUCGUGCCUCACGGGGUAUGAACUGGUGCAGUCAAUUUCUCACCUUCUGGAGAACCGCGAUGUCCUUAAUUGGAUGCCGUGGGGAACCAGGACCUUUACUUUGAAAAAAUUAGAGUGUUUAAAGCAGGCAUUUUUGCUUGAAUACAUUAGCAUGGAAUAAUAAAAUAGGACGGCAUGGUUCUAUUUUGUUGGUUUCUAGGACCACCGUAAUGAUUAAUAGGGAUAGUUGGGGGCAUUAGUAUUCAAUUGUCAGAGGUGAAAUUCUUGGAUUUAUUGAAGACUAACUACUGCGAAAGCAUUUGCCAAGGAUGUUUUCAUUAAUCAAGAACGAAAGUUAGGGGAUCGAAGACGAUCAGAUACCGUCGUAGUCUUAACCAUAAACUAUGCCGACUAGGAAUCAGACGAUGUUAAUUUUUUAAUGACUCGUUUGGCACCUUACG
This 507-nucleotide ribosomal RNA is filed under the name uncultured Glomeromycotina. RNAcentral describes it as "partial small subunit ribosomal RNA". It matches the Rfam family "Eukaryotic small subunit ribosomal RNA", at positions 591 to 1092 of the family's 1831-position model. Lineage: Eukaryota; Fungi; Glomeromycota. The record is from RNAcentral.